Molecule: transfer RNA, 74 nt
Filed under: Halanaerobium sp. DL-01
Lineage: Bacteria; Bacillati; Bacillota; Clostridia; Halanaerobiales; Halanaerobiaceae
Also listed under: 1 other name
Rfam family: tRNA
About the family: Transfer RNA (tRNA) molecules are approximately 80 nucleotides in length. Their secondary structure includes four short double-helical elements and three loops (D, anti-codon, and T loops).
Source: Rfam by way of RNAcentral
CGCGGGGUAGAGCAGUCCGGUAGCUCGUCAGGCUCAUAACCUGGAGGUCGUCGGUUCGAAUCCGGCCCCCGCAA